RNAcentral lists this transfer RNA (78 nucleotides) under Actinomycetota bacterium. Its description in RNAcentral is "tRNA-His". The record is from RNAcentral. Lineage: Bacteria; Bacillati; Actinomycetota.
GUGGCCGAGGUCUGAAGUGGUCGAGACGCCGGAACGUGGCCCCGGAAGAAGCCGGUUCCAGUCCGGCCGGUCACCCCA